RNAcentral lists this ribosomal RNA (239 nucleotides) under uncultured bacterium. Its description in RNAcentral is "partial 16S ribosomal RNA". It matches the Rfam family "Bacterial small subunit ribosomal RNA", at positions 102 to 334 of the family's 1533-position model. The record is from RNAcentral.
CCGGCGACGGGUGAGUAACGCGUAUGCAACUUACCUAUCAGGAGGGGAUAACCCGGCGAAAGUCGGACUAAUACCGCAUGAAGCAGGGGCCCCGCAUGGGGAUAUUUGCUAAAGAUUCAUCGCUGAUAGAUAGGCAUGCGUUCCAUUAGGCAGUUGGCGGGGUAACGGCCCACCAAGCCGACGAUGGAUAGGGGUUCUGAGAGGAAGGUCCCCCACAUUGGAACUGUGACACGGUCCAA